This 26-nucleotide small RNA is filed under the name Bombyx mori (domestic silkworm). Its description in RNAcentral is "ovarian small RNA-34308". Lineage: Eukaryota; Metazoa; Arthropoda; Insecta; Lepidoptera; Bombycidae. The record is from RNAcentral.
UGCUUGCAAAUAUCACAGACAGCAGA